This 575-nucleotide long non-coding RNA is filed under the name Homo sapiens (human). RNAcentral's name for it is "HSALNT0064232". Lineage: Eukaryota; Metazoa; Chordata; Mammalia; Primates; Hominidae. The record is from RNAcentral.
CGUUGUGUUUAAUGGUAAAGCUUAGUACACCCCAGCACCAGGAAUGGCAUGGAGUCGCAGCAGCAGGGACGGACAGGUGGCCCCCAUGGAGCCUCACGUGGCGAAGAGGAUGAGGAAGGUGACCAUCAAACAGAAGAACCCCCCAUGGCCUCAGACAGGCCAACGCCCAGAAUGGCAUAGGAGAAGAGCUACUGCCUGAGAGAUGAGUGCCUGAGAGACGAGUGCCUGAGAGACGGGUUCCUGGCAUAGCCAAUGAUCAAGCUGCCAAACACAAUUCCAAUGCCAGUCCCUGAACCAGCCACACCAACUGUGGCUGCCUCAGCACCAAUAAAUUGGUUGCUGUGUCAAUGUCCCAGGAGACAACACUGGUCUGGAACUCCUGUCUGGCCACCUGGAGUGGGGAGCUGCUGUGGGAAGGCUGUUUAGAUGAACUCUCUGGGCUAUUCAAGAAGGAGGCAGACACAGGCCUGGUUAGACACCUGGUGCAACAGUGGAUCUGAGCCGGAGAAAUGAACAGUGCCCCAGUGGUCUGCAUUUUUUCAGUCUCCCAGCUUUAGCCCUUGGUCUCGGCGCCC